This 339-nucleotide unclassified non-coding RNA is filed under the name soil metagenome. Its description in RNAcentral is "partial contains 5.8S ribosomal RNA, internal transcribed spacer 2, and large subunit ribosomal RNA". The stretch from base 1 to 120 matches the Rfam family "5.8S ribosomal RNA", at positions 35 to 154 of the family's 154-position model. The record is from RNAcentral.
GAUGAAGAACGUAGCGAAAUGCGAUAAGUAAUGCGAAUUGCAGAAUUCCGUGAGUCAUCGAAUCUUUGAACGCACAUUGCGCCCUCUGGUAUUCCGGAGGGCAUGCCUGUCUGAGCGUCAUUGUCAACCCUCAAGCUCAGCUUGCUGUUGGGUCCCCGUCGUUGCUUUAACGGCGGACCCGAAAGGUAAUGGCAGAGUCCGUGAGACCCUAGACGCAGCGAGCUUCUAGCACGCGUCUGGACGUUUUUCGGGCUCGGUCUUAACUGGAUGAUAACUUCCGAUUGACCUCAGAUCAGGUAGGGAUACCCGCUGAACUUAAGCAUAUCAAUAAGCGGAGGA